UGGGGAAUAUUGGACAAUGGGCGAAAGCCUGAUCCAGCCAUGCCGCGUGUGUGAAGAAGGUCUUCGGAUUGUAAAGCACUUUAAGUUGGGAGGAAGGGCAGUAAGCGAAUACCUUGCUGUUUUGACGUUACCGACAGAAUAAGCACCGGCUAACUCUGUGCCAGCAGCCGCGGUAAUACAGAGGGUGCAAGCGUUAAUCGGUAUUACUGGGCGUAAAGCGCGCGUAGGUGGUUCGUUAAGUUGAAUGUGAAAGCCCCGGGCUCAACCUGGGAACUGCGUCCAAAACUGGCGAGCUAGAGUAGGGCAGAGGGUGGUGGAAUUUCCUGUGUAGCGGUGAAAUGCGUAGAUAUAGGAAGGAACACCAGUGGCGAAGGCGACCACCUGGGCUCAUACUCACACUGAGGUGCGAAAGCGUGGGGAGCAAACAGG
Molecule: ribosomal RNA, 429 nt
Filed under: Pseudomonadota bacterium
Lineage: Bacteria; Pseudomonadati; Pseudomonadota
Description: Proteobacteria bacterium partial 16S ribosomal RNA
Rfam family: Bacterial small subunit ribosomal RNA
Source: RNAcentral